CCUACGGGAGGCAGCAGUAGGGAAUCUUUCACAAUGGGCGAACGCCUGAUGCAGCAACGCCGCGUGCAGGAAGAAGUCCUUCGGGUUGUAAACUGCUUUUAUCAGCGAGAACUAUGAUGGUAACUUCUGAAUAAGUCUCGGCUACCUACAUGCCAGCAGCCGCGAUCAUACGUAGGGGCCGCGCGUUCUCCGGUGUUACUGGGUGUAAAGAGUGUCGUAGGGGGCAUAAUAGGUACCUGUGGAAAUCGGGGGGUUCAACCAUUCAGACUAUUAGCUAAACUGUGAAGCUGGAGACCAGUAGAGGUAAGUGGAAUGUCUAGUGUAGGGGUGAAAUGCGUAGAUAUUAGAAGGAACACCAGUAGCGAAGGCAGGUUGCUGGAACGGUACUGACGCUGAGGCACGAAAGCGUAGGGAGCAAACAGGAUUAGAUACCCGAGUAGUC
This 442-nucleotide ribosomal RNA is filed under the name uncultured bacterium. RNAcentral's name for it is "partial 16S ribosomal RNA". It matches the Rfam family "Bacterial small subunit ribosomal RNA", at positions 338 to 795 of the family's 1533-position model. The record is from RNAcentral.